This 66-nucleotide transfer RNA is filed under the name Lobocla bifasciata. Its description in RNAcentral is "tRNA-Ala". It matches the Rfam family "tRNA". Rfam says of the family: Transfer RNA (tRNA) molecules are approximately 80 nucleotides in length. The record is from RNAcentral. Lineage: Eukaryota; Metazoa; Arthropoda; Insecta; Lepidoptera; Hesperiidae.
AGGAUUAUAGUUUAAAAUAAAACAUUUGAUUUGCAUUCAAAAUAUAUUGUCCAUCAAUUUAUCUUA